UCCGGUUUGUCACCGGCAGUCCCAUUAGAGUGCUCAACUGAAUGUAGCAACUAAUGGCAAGGGUUGCGCUCGUUGCGGCACUUAAGCCAACACCUCACGGCACGAGCUGACGACAGCCAUGCAGCACCUGUGCUAGCCCCUUACGGACACGCGCUUUCACGCGCUUUAACUAGCAUGUCAAGCCCAGGUAAGGUUCUUCGCGUUGCGUCGAAUUGAACCACAUGCUCCGCUGCUUGUGCGGGUCCCCGUCAAUUCCUUUGAGUUUUAGCCUUGCGGCCGUACUCCCCAGGCGGGGCACUUAAUGCGUUAGCUACGGCACGGAACCCGUCGAUAGAGCCCCACACCUAGUGCCCAACGUUUACGGCGUGGACUAC
RNAcentral lists this unclassified non-coding RNA (374 nucleotides) under uncultured bacterium. RNAcentral describes it as "contains 16S-23S intergenic spacer region". The record is from RNAcentral.